AAGGUUUUAUCUUAAUUAAAGAAUCUGGGUUGCAUUCAGAAGAUGCGGGAAGACGCCCGCAAACCUUA
RNAcentral lists this transfer RNA (68 nucleotides) under Hemisus marmoratus (mottled shovel-nosed frog). RNAcentral describes it as "tRNA-Ala". Lineage: Eukaryota; Metazoa; Chordata; Amphibia; Anura; Hemisotidae. The record is from RNAcentral.